This is a long non-coding RNA of Lemur catta (Ring-tailed lemur), 831 nucleotides long. RefSeq lists it as uncharacterized. Lineage: Eukaryota; Metazoa; Chordata; Mammalia; Primates; Lemuridae. The record is from RefSeq and is a predicted model, not a curated record. The transcript has 3 exons.
UCCACGAUGCCUGCUGCUCAGUUCCUGACCUCUGCCUGACCCCCGCCCUGCCCACCGCAAGGCCACGCAGAUGGUUACGUAGGAGCCGUCCAGGCUUCUAUCUCCCCGGAGGCCCCCCCGGGAGGCUCUGCCGCCCCCCCUGCGCACUUGGAACAUGGCCAGCUCCACUACCUCCGCCCGCUGCCUCUAGACUCUGUCAAGGCUAUGGGACUGGCAGAACGGCAACCACCAUCGCACCCCAGAAACAACCCAGGGAGAACUGCUCCCCGGCCCUCAGAGACGGCAGAUGCCCCGGAACCGGUUAGCAGCCCCGCAUCCUCCCAGCCGCCCUAGACACCUCCAACCCAACGCCAAGGCUACAAAUCUAUUUCCAGCCUUAUCCUGGUCAGGUUACGGACCGAGUCUCUGGCUCAAACACCUUCACGCCUUCCUGCAGCCUGCAAACGUCAGUCUUGGCUCCUUAGCCUGGCAUGGGAGGCCCCUCACCACCUAGCUCCAGCUCUGCAGCUCUGGCACAAGCCCUCCCAGGUCCUCCCGAACACCUGCUGCAGCCACCCUCAUCUGCUCAUCACCCGCGAGCAAAUCCUGCUCAAGCCACCGUCUCCAACUGGGGCCUUCUCAUCUCCGCCGUGCCACCUCUGCAAGGCGGCUCUCACUGUGCUCCCAUCCCCAGCGCACGCUGCACACCCUGCCUUCUUCUGCAGCUAUGCCUGAGCAUGUCCUAUGCAUCCAGAUGGCUCCUGAGCUCCUCUAGGGCAGGGCCGAUGUCACACUCAUGGCCUUUUAUUGUUUUAAAUCCCAGUCAAUCAAUGUCUGUGAAAUGAAGGGUUG